Agrilus planipennis (emerald ash borer) is the source of this 486-nucleotide long non-coding RNA. RefSeq lists it as uncharacterized. The transcript has 2 exons. The record is from RefSeq and is a predicted model, not a curated record. Lineage: Eukaryota; Metazoa; Arthropoda; Insecta; Coleoptera; Buprestidae.
ACCCAGUUACAAUUUUUAAUAUUACAUUACGUGUAUAUCAAAAUUAAUUAAUUUAUUAAUAUUCCUGGUGUAAAAUUGUUAAAACUACGCUUAAGCCGAAAUGAUGGUGAGUAAAAUAUAAUUCUCUGUUUGAUUCAGGUUUGAGCAACUCUCUCAGUUGACGUAGAUUAUAAGUGAUCUGGCGUUUAUUAAAUAUGUCAAAGAUUACAGAGGAGUUUAUUUUAUUCAUAAGUACCUUUUUAAAGAAAAUUAUGAUUAUAAUUUAAUUGAACAAAUGUAACAUAAUUCGCGAGUAGUCAUGUUUCCAGUAUUGUAUGGUUGCAGCAUUUUUGUCAUAAGAAGAAAGAUGUUUGAGAAAUCUAUGUUGAAUAGACUCAAGGCUACGAAUAUCUACCUCAAAUGCCACAAGUGUUACCAAAAGAAUCAUAUCCAUUUACAAUACGAAGUGGGCUACCAUAAACAAAAGAGAAUGUCGCUAUUACAAUC